UACAGAGGGUGCGAGCGUUGUUCGGAAUUACUGGGCGUAAAGCGCGCGCAGGAGGCCCUUUAAGUCCGUCGGUCAAAUGCCGGGGCUCAACCCCGAUGCAUGCCGAGGAUACUGGAGGGCUGGAGACACGUAGAGGCAAGCGGAAUUCCGGGUGUAGCGGUGGAAUGCGUAGAGAUCCGGAAGAACACCGGAGGCGAAGGCGGCUUGCUGGGCGUGAUCUGACGCUGAGGCGCGAAAGCUAGGGGAGCAAACGGG
This 255-nucleotide ribosomal RNA is filed under the name uncultured bacterium. Its description in RNAcentral is "partial 16S ribosomal RNA". It matches the Rfam family "Bacterial small subunit ribosomal RNA", at positions 524 to 776 of the family's 1533-position model. The record is from RNAcentral.